This 71-nucleotide transfer RNA is filed under the name Desmognathus quadramaculatus (black-bellied salamander). RNAcentral describes it as "tRNA-Ala". Lineage: Eukaryota; Metazoa; Chordata; Amphibia; Caudata; Plethodontidae. The record is from RNAcentral.
AUUAAGGUUUGCAAGACUUUAUCUUACAUAAUCUGAAUGCAAAUCAAACACUUUAAUUAAGAUAAAACCUC